Molecule: ribosomal RNA, 253 nt
Filed under: uncultured bacterium
Lineage: Bacteria
Description: partial 16S ribosomal RNA
Rfam family: Bacterial small subunit ribosomal RNA
Source: RNAcentral
GACAGAGGGGGCAAGCGUUGUCCGGAAUUACUGGGCGUAAUGAGCACGUAGGUGGCCUGUUGCGUCGGUGCUGAAAACGCCGGGCUUAACCCGGCGAGGCGUGCCGAUACGAGCAAGCUCGAGGCAGGGAGAGGGUGGCGGAAUUCCGGGUGUAGUGGUGAAAUGCGUAGAGAUCCGGAGGAACGCCAGUGACGAAGGUGGCCACCUGGCCCUCGCCUGACACUGAGGUGCGAUAGCGUGGGGAGCGAACCGG